This 492-nucleotide ribosomal RNA is filed under the name uncultured bacterium. Its description in RNAcentral is "partial 16S ribosomal RNA". It matches the Rfam family "Bacterial small subunit ribosomal RNA", at positions 29 to 507 of the family's 1533-position model. The record is from RNAcentral.
AGUGAACGCUGACGGUAGGCCUAACACAUGCAAGUCGAACGGCAGCACAGUAAGAGCUUGCUCUUACGGGUGGCGAGUGGCGGACGGGUGAGGAAUACAUCGGAAUCUACUUUUUCGUGGGGGAUAACGUAGGGAAACUUACGCUAAUACCGCAUACGACCUACGGGUGAAAGCAGGGGAUCUUCGGACCUUGCGCGAUUGAAUGAGCCGAUGUCGGAUUAGCUAGUUGGCGGGGUAAAGGCCCACCAAGGCGACGAUCCGUAGCUGGUCUGAGAGGAUGAUAAGCGACACUGGAACUGAGACACGGUCCAGACUCCUACGGGAGGCAGAAGUGGGGAAUAUUGGACAAUGGGCGCAAGCCUGAUCCAGCCAUACCGCGUAGGUGAAGAAGGCCUUCGGGUUGUAAAGCCCUUUUGUUGGGAAAGAAAAGCAGCAGGUUAAUACCCCGCUGUUCUGACGGUACCCAAAGAAUAAGCACCGGCUAACUUCGUG